Mesocricetus auratus (golden hamster) is the source of this 2092-nucleotide long non-coding RNA. RefSeq lists it as uncharacterized. NCBI's taxonomy places the organism in Eukaryota, Metazoa, Chordata, Mammalia, Rodentia, Cricetidae. The transcript has 2 exons. The record is from RefSeq and is a predicted model, not a curated record.
UCCGCCCUGCCCUGCCAGUGUGGUCCCCGCCACCCCCCCACCCGACUAUUCUAGAAGCAGUCAGGCCUGCCCACUCCAGCAGCAAAGGAGAUCUGUUCCUGAUGUUGUUCCCCUUCCAAAUAUUUUCAGAUAUGUCCUCCAUUCCGUGACGCGCUGCUAAGGUCAGGAAAGGAACAUUGAGCAAUCAGAGGGAGUGGCCGUCCAUGGACGCCGUGACCCGCCCCGCCUCGGGGGCUCCUUUGGAACUUUUUUUUUAAGUGUCCGUGGAGGAAUCGUCCUGUUGAGCGAUGCCUGGGUGACGCGACCCAAGGCUAUAAAAGCAAAAGUUGUGUCCCUCACCAGCAGGAGUUAGUGACAAGGAGGGCUGCCUUCUGGGUCUAGUGGCGGGGCGGAAGUGGCUAGUUCAGGGCCCAGAUCAGAGAGAUGGCAGAGCUAGCAGCCUCCACUAGCAUGGGGAUGGGAGAAGUCAAGGUGUUGGCAGUGCGCUUGUGUGGAUGGCAGCUUCCAAAGCGUCUUCAACCCACACAGGGGCAGCAGCCUUCUAGACCAGGCUAGCCCUGCGGUCUGGCGUGGGGAGUCCUAACUCCAGGAGAGCACAAGUCUCACGGGCCUACAUGGGCCGUGUUCUAACCUAGUGGCAGAGCCGGUGGUGAAGACAGGUGGACCCGGCCCUUGAGGCCCUGGACAUCUUGAAAAAUAGGCAGCGAGGGCAGGGUUAGGUGGGCAGCGGGGUUAGCUUUGAACUUGACAAUGCCAGCAGACCCUUUUUUUCCAGAUAGGGCUUGUUACCUGCCUGGGGUUGAGGCCUGCUCUUACGGAAAGUGGACUUAGCAUCGUGGGGCUGACAGCUCUGGCCCUGGGUGGUAUGUAAUUUGGGCUUAGCCCGAUAGCACGCAGUUGUGGGUGUGAGGGGUGGCCCGAGGUGUGGUUGUAGAGGCAAGAAGUUUUCUUCUAAGGUCUGCUAGGCUGGGGCUACCGAGGUUGAAGGCGCGCGUCCGAGGCCACAUCGAUUACAGCUUUAUUUUUCAGUGUUCAUCAUGCCAAGCAGAUGGCACCAGGAGAAAUGGAGCCCCUGCCAGUGUGUCGUAGCAGUGACGAGGCAGACCCUGGAGGAGACGGCCUCCACAGUGAAUUCCAGAGGCCUGGGAAGCUCUGCACUGCCGUGUGUGUUCAGGAGGCCACCCUCUAAGUGGUUCAGAUCAGCUAAUGGGGGUGGGGACUGGAGGGCUCUCGGCGGCCGUGAAUGUUCCAGAUGAGUGUCUUGUUCUGGGAGCACCAGUCUCCGGAUGCCCUUUCCUGGGGGUAGAGGCAUUCAGCUGCUGCAUCUUCUGAAUCAAGCCUCCAGUCUUUAGUUCUGUGCUACGAACUUGGCUUCGAGAAGAUUGCUUAAGGUGUAGAACACUUUAACAUUGUCGUCGACCGCAGCACAUUGUAGAUGGUGUUUGCAGGAGGAGCCCCGGGACCUCGCCCACCUUCCCUGCGGCCUGCCUGCCUCUGCAUUGGUCAGAGGCGUUCUUAAAUGUGAUGAAACUUUUGGGUGUUGGGAAAACUUCAAUUUUAAAUGACAGAUGGAAGAGUAUUAGAUGAAGCCAAUUGUUAAAUGGGUGGGGUGUUUUUUAAAAGUAUGGGAGAGCACAGUUUUGUUGGGAUUUGAGAUGGCAUAUCUAAUUUGGGCGUUGGGGUAGUAUCUGGUAUUAAGGAAUGGUGCACCGGCCUGCAGUGGUCUCUGGGAAUUUCCGGUACCGGGUGGUAGGCUGGUGCUACGCCACUGAGUGGCACACAGUUCUUGUUGCUCCUUUUUGUUGAUUGGCUUUUCUGACUUGACUGUAUCAGGCUGGCAACAGCGCUCAGUCCUGCUGGUGUCAUCCAAAACUUCACCUUCCCCCUUAUACUUGAGUUUUACUGGAUCAGGCUUCAGAAUCCUUUUGGCACAAGAGGGAAAACAGGGUUUAGCUUGGCACUGGUCUCUUGGCCAGAGGCUUGAUGAAGGACUGGGUGGGCUGGCAAGGAAUGUGAUUGGAAAAUGUGGGUCGAUGGGAAUAACAGUUUGGGAACUAAGUAGCUCACAUAAAAUGUAAAAGUUGAUGGUAAA